Molecule: long non-coding RNA, 216 nt
Filed under: Phaseolus vulgaris (common bean)
Lineage: Eukaryota; Viridiplantae; Streptophyta; Magnoliopsida; Fabales; Fabaceae
Description: long non-coding RNA (PVUL_LNC001594)
Source: RNAcentral
GGUCGGCCGGCACUUGCGAUGUUUAAUCGAGCAAGCGGGCAGUCGGUCGGCCGAGAAGUCGGCCAAGCAUUGAGACUUGAUGGCGCCCCUCGGCUCAUAGCGUAUGUCGAACUCGGAGAGUUCGACCGACCAUCCUAUCAUCCUCCCUGCAAGGUCCGGUUUAGAUAAAAUUUUAAAAAUAGGGUAGUCGGUUCUUACAAUUAUGGAGUGAUUUUG